GUAUAGAUUAAUGGCCUUUCGGCACAAUCACGUUCGAUUAUUUAGAUAGAGUUUGUAAGAAGAAGGCGAGUCGACCAAGUUAAUGGCUUUCCUCGAACCUUCAGAUGUGCACAGGUGUAUGGGAUAAGAAUUUCGGAAGCGAGCACAUGCAGCGAACUGCCAGCUUCAACUCCCUAAGUAAAUUCAUUAAUGAUCCUUCCGCAGGUUCACCUACGGAAA
Molecule: unclassified non-coding RNA, 219 nt
Filed under: uncultured fungus
Lineage: Eukaryota; Fungi
Description: sequence contains ITS1
Source: RNAcentral